UGUUUUACUGUGUUGGACUCAACCAAGGCUACUGUCCAAUUUUAAUAGAUGUAUUUUCCACAGGAAAUUAAUGUAUUGUUUCCCCAAAGCUAUUUCAGUCGGUAAACGUCGCUGCAGGCUGCCUGAGCUGCACGUUACUUCAGCUGGCCAAACAAAUCAGGUGCCCUCGGACGGUCCUCUGCCUAGUUUUAGCCAAGUGAGCUGUGACAGUCCCAGGGCUACCACUGGUAGCUGAACAACCCUACGUAUUUUUCACAUGGAAAACGGUGUACAGAGAGAUUCCUAACUGUUGUGUUAGUUCUUUGGCGAUCUGUACUAUGCGGAGUCAGCAUCACUGCAAGUGUUCAAGAAAUGCGUAGAUGUGGCACUGAGGGACAUGGGGAUCACCUCAGCAGGCCUGAGCGGGGCAGUGCACUGCAGGGAAGGGGGCUUGGAACAGAGAAUAUUUAGGGGAGGAAUGACAGCACUGUGCCAGCCUGCAGCAGCUGCACCAAGUUACUGGAACACCAGAACACUUAUUCUACAGGCCUAGAAGCAAAGGAUUCUAAAGGUGUUUUCAGAAGGUGCCCAUGCUACUGAGAAGUGUAUGCACCAUUUUUAAAAGUGCCUUGCUGAGAGAUGAUGGACUGGGUAGGUCCUGCAGAGAAAUCAAAUGGACAUUUUCGAAAACUGUACCCCUUAUUUUAAAAGAAAGGAAAACGUGAGGCAAUCACAGCUGAUUCAGCAUCCGGCAGUCUCAGCCAAGUCAUAUUUUACCUCUUCCCUUCCCUCCCCGCACAAAACUUCCAGGAAAACCUGCAAAGAAAAGGCAUAUGUGGGUAGGAGGAGACCCGCUUUUAAUUUCUGUACCUCCUAUUCAACACAAUGCCACACAAUGCACAGGAUGCGAAUAUCCCAAGACACCUUAUACAAUACAAGUAACAAAAGCACACACACAUGCACAAGAAAGGGGGAGAAGCAAGCAAGUCAGAGUUACACACCAAAGUGCAGGUAAAGCUAUCUCUAAGGUGCUUAUGUGAAGGAGCUCUAUGAAAAAUUCAUCUUUAGAAAAGAGAAGCAGGGGACUGGAAAAAUACUUCAGUGAACGUGAAAACUACAUUUCCAUUUCAAAGCAGGAUUUAUCUAUUUUUCUCUGCUGUGUUGAAUGUAGUGGUCAGAUCUUCAUUACAAGCAAAGGAGGAGGUCCUAAGGAGGUCUUUGCACUGAGGUGCAACAGAGAUGCUCCUAUGGUUGGUCUAUAGAGCAACCUGCUGUUUGGAGGGCACUGGGUCACAUAAUGGCUGUGACUAUAGCCUGCAGAAAUCGCUGAAGUUUGAAGUGUAUCACCACGGCUGUAACGGUUUUCCCCUUCUUUUGGCUGAGGAGAGGAUAGUGCACAUAGGGUCUGCUCACUCCCAAGAAACAGCACCUGGCCUGGUUAAAGGAGGUCCUUCAGGAGAUGAGACCACAGCCAUGUCCUGGUGAAGUGCAGAGUGCCUGAGGCAACACCCAGCAUUGCAGCUCCUGUCAGCACUCAAUGAGUGCAUCAGAGCCUGAUCAAAAAAAUCAAGGUUUCCUCCAAGCCUGUUGCUGAGGCAUGGCUCUGCAUGUCCAUCAGAAUGACCAGCCUGUGGGUGAAGCACCGGGAACCUUGCUUGACCUGAUCUCAGCUCAGGCACAAGUCACUCAAAGUUUGUGAGCUUGCAAAAUCUGUGAAGAAAAUAUAACUUCUGAGCCAGACACUCUUUAACAUUUGUCUGGAGUUGCUGUGAGAUUUUUACAGCAAGGAUGUAUUCUGCUUUUAGAUAGGAAUGAAAGCAAAACACUUCAAAUAAUCAAACAAAUAAAGAAAACCAUGGAACAUGAUCUUUACAAUAUAUUUAUUAGGAAGACAAUUUUCUAACAUACAAAAAUAGGGCUUUGUAUGUAGAUAGGAAGACUAGAAGACUUCUAGUCACAAGGCUACUGGCUGGUGCAUCAAAAUCCAGUGUGAACAUACGGAGGCAGAGAGGAGAAACUGCAGGAAGCAGAGGUGGGCUAUAGCCAUGAAUCAUUUCUCCCUUUGGAAUGAGGUCACUAGAGUAACUUGUUUAACCGAUUACGUAUUUCAUCAGUAUUUGAGAAAAAAAUGAAACUGGCACUUUUUUAUUGUAUUUGUGUAUUGACGGACAGUUGCUAUCAGUAUAGUGUAAUUAGAUGGGCAAAGAGGAUCAUUUUGAGCAUCUCAGCUGCCUAAUUCUGGAUCCAAAUAACAAACAAUACCACAUUCUCCCUUAAUGGACAUUCAGUUACCACAUCAAAUACAUGCUUGGUGCAACAUUACUGGGAAAUUCAUGAGGAAGAAGGUAGAAAACAAAAGCAGAGAAAUAUUUUUUAGUAUUGCGUAUUGUGAAGUGUGACGAUACAGAGAUUUUUUAUAACGGCUCUUGGAAUUCUCACUAAUGGAACAAGAUGUCCCAUGCCCACUAGCAGCCACAGAGCUGCAGCUGCUGUGCUGCUUAAAGCUUCUGUGAAGGACACAGAUUUAUUAUGUUGCGUAUCACCACUUCCUACAUUUCUGACAGGAUUGCACUCUGGCUUUUGCUUUUGUUUUUCUAAAAAUAAAAGUCAAAACAAACAAAUGAGGUGUUGCUGUACAAAGGAAGGGUAAUCCUAGCUGCAUGUAGAGGUGUCUUUCACAGUAGAAAUGUUUAGGAUGUUUGAAGACGCGUAUAAAAAAUCAUUUUGUAUUAACCGAGUAAAUAUCACUUAAAUAAUUGGCUGAACUUUUGGGUGUUUGUGCUCUGUAAUCAAUGCUCUGUGGUUUAAUGUGAAUUUGGGUAGAUAGAUGAAUAACUGGUCCUCCUUCGGCAGGGCCUGGCCCCGCUCCGCAGUGAGCCCCUCGCCCAGCCCUGCGGCCUGCUACUCCCCAUCCCACCUCGCCCUGUGGAUCUGGCUGCCUCUGGCCCCAGCUGGCACCUCCUCACCUGCCAGCUCAGGAAAAGGACUCAUUUGUUAUCUGAGCAUUGGGCUGAGUGGUAAAACUGCCCCAAAGUGAAUCAGUAGGCUAGUUCCAGUAAGUGACUUCAUUAUUCUUGUGUUUGUGUUUGGCUUAAAGCCAAUGGCUGCCUUAGGAACACGCUGAACACAAAUGGAGUUCCGUGAAAGUUAGUGUGUACCAUGCACGAAUAUCCUCUUAGCACAUUCUCUGGUGUCCAUAAGAGUGCACUCAUAAAUGUAUCUUUUUAUAGUGAAACAACAUCCAAAGCUUAUCCCAUAGGUACUCCACAACUAGUUUUUGUUGUUGUUGUUGUUGUUGUUUAUUUUUAUUUUUUUUUUUUCUGUAGAAAGCAGAGCUCUUAUCCGUGUGUGAAAUGUGCUGAUAUAUUCCCAGUCAUCCAGAAUCCAAACUCCUGUGCAGACAAAUAGAAGUACAGGCAAUUUUUGCAGGGUCCUGGCUCUCAGAUAGGGGUUGGAGAGACAGAACAAAAAAUUAUCUUUGCUUUGCACUGAACUUUUCAGCAGUUUUAAGUGGUUCUGCUCUGAGGAAAUCAAGACCUUUUGGGAAUGGGGCACUUUUUCUGCUUGUUUAUUUGUUUGUUUAGUGUAUAUAAAACCAGAGAGACUGAGGCAUAGGUGAAGCAGCCCUGAGACCCGAGACCAGGAAUUCAGGGACUAAUCCAUGGGUUUGACCUGAUCAUCAGAAUAUUCGUUGCUCUGUAGAGAAGUUGUCUCUCUCACUCAUGGCCUACAACACCAGUAAACUGCUGUAAAAUAUUACAUUGUGGAGAAAUUAAUUCUAUUAUUUUACGUAGAUCUACUCUUGAAUGGCAAGAUAGCCUUUCAGCACAGCUUGGAGGCCAUAUCAGAUCUGCUGUCCUCUAAUUCCAAAUAUCCUUCAUCAGAUUCUGGGACAGAUCAAACUAUAAAUUGCUGAAUGAAAUAUCUAAAACACACGUAUUGACAAGCUGCUACACAUUUAAUACAUCUUGAGAACAGAAAAGAUUUUCUGUGGGAAGUUCUGUAUAGAAAGGAGAAAGCUCUGAGUGAGCAAGAAGUAGGGAGAAAAGCUUGCUGAGAUCUUUGUUGUGUAAUAAACUAUAAUUCAAUCAUGGCUGAUUACUUCAUACUGCGUAAAAGAGCUAACACCUUGUGUGCCUACAAUGUACACAGGGCUCUGGUGCUCUCCAGGUUAGACACAGAUCUGUAACCCCAAGGAACAGUCACCAACACCAACAGCCUCCGCCCAGCAGAACAGAGGGAAUGUGGUGUAAAUUCCAAACUAAAAUUAGGCAGUUUGCUCCAGAACCACACCUAAAAACGUCUCCCUAUUUUGUUUUUGUUUAUGCAUAUGUUUUUUAAUUUUCUUUAAUAAACAGAACCUAAGCACAAGGUCAGAACCACCUCUUUUUCCAUUCCUCUUCUUCAUCACAUUGGGUUCCAUCAGGGUCUCACACUACAGUGACCACAAGAUAUUUGUUUUCAUAUAUCUAGUAAUGUCUUCCAUGUAGAAGUACAGCUUUAGUAGCUUGUGACCCAUGUUCAGUUUUGACUAAUAUUUGUAUUUCCAACUAAUGGCCUCAGUAAAAAAAAAAAUAAAAAAAUCUGUUUGUGUCCUGCCACUGCAGCACAAACACAGCAAUGAUGAGAUGUUCUGCCAAAGCUACCGGUAAAGGAUUGUGAGGGUUUGUGUUUAGGAACAAAAAUGAACACAGCAGUUUGGUGCUCAUGUUGGUUGCCACUAGGAGGAAGGAACACAUGAUGACUGUAUCUUCAGGUGCUCAUUUGUUGUAACACCUGUGCUGUGAAUUUGGGCCCUCUUCCUCAGGCUUGAGCAAUUAAUCUUGAGAAGGUGGGAUGGCCAAGUAUGUCUCUUAACUGCAGGUGGUGAGCAUGGGCUAUGGGGUUUCUAACACAAGUUUUGGCCACGAAGCUUCAUGUCCAAUGGACAUUCUCAUAAUUAUAUCAUUAGAAAAGAAAUACAGUGUCUAUUAUCUCUGAGUGUUUAGACAAGACUUUGGCAUUAUUGUCUGGGCAAUGAAGUGACUCAGUGCAGUAGGAAUGCCAGCUAUGAGCAAAGGAAUUCUUUACAUCCCACCCAGGGGAGUAAGAGGGAAUCUCUGGCACAUCCUUGUGUACAGUGCAAACAGCUAGACAGCUUCCAGCUGCUGGACGCAGCUCUACAUAAAAGUGAACUACAAAGUGGGGGGAACGUGGGUGUGUUUUGUUUUGACUGUGUUGUAGUGCAGAAAGAUCUAGUUUUCCUCUAGAUCUUUUUUUCCUCUCUCUGUCUCUGUUUGCGUUCCUUUUGUUUGUUUGUUUAAUAUUAGGAAUUUGGACUUCACUUAUCCCUGGAAAACACAGUGGCUAAGUUGAACUAAUGAUAAUUAUGGAGUGAAAGCUGAGAAAUGGAAUGGAAAGGAUUUUGCAAAAUGGCAGCUUCAUAAUUCCCCAGAAGGUACUUCACUUCACUCAGCAAUCUCUACCAUUACUAGUGCCACGCUGAUAGUUGAAUGCUAAAGUCUUGGCCCUGAAACUAAUGUGCUAGGGGUCUAUCUACUGACAGCAGCUAGCUAACCUAUUCUGGAGCUGUAAGGCAUGUUUUAUUUUUAACUUUGGUGCUAGUCAACAGACAUAUGCUCUUUGGGUAGCUUGAUAAGGAUCUGCUUCCAUCUACAAAAUUGUUAUAGUCAUGAGUACUUGGUAUUUUCCUGUCUGCUGCUCACACUGCCCCAGCAAUGGUGGUUUGCUCUUGUGGAGGCCACAGAGACUCUACAACAUACAUAAUAAGUAAUAGCUCUGCACUAAGCUUGCCUCCACCAUGCUUGUCAAUUUUGUGAGACACGUUCCUGCUUUGUGGGACACUGACACCAUCUCCCAAGUACUUCGGACACAGGCAUAAUGCUAUCAGACAUAUGGUUUGAAAUUUGCAUAGUCCUGUGCAGAGCCAGGAGUUGGAAUCAAUGAUCCUUACAGGUCCCUUCCAACUCAGGAUAUUCAAUGAUUCUAUUCUGUGACUCUGUGAGUCUCCAGCUGCAAGUCCUGACUAGAGAAAUUGGAGCAUGGAGCUCUUCGCACUCAUAGUGCUCCUGCUAGCAUCAAUGCUGUGGGCACAGGGCUGCAUUAACUAGAAAAUAGGAGAGACUAUGGGGACCAUUACCCAAAUGGAGUAGCGUUCCCUCCCCAUAACAAUCAUGCCUAAGCCCAGAUGGAUCUGAGCUGGAGCAUGCAGCUGUAGGCACCCAGCUCUUCUCAUAGGCUCUUUGUGAAGAUGCCAAUGGAUGUCUCCAUUCCCUAUGGCUUGGUGAGCGCCAUUGGAUGAUUGGUCAUUUGCUUCACCUGCUGUUCAUUGAGCUGCUGCUGAUACUGGGAGGGGUUUAAAAGGUUAGCUGGCUUGAUGUGUGUGUGUUCUGCCAGAGCAGAAGGAACAAGCAGGGUCUGUAUGUCUUGGAUACUUUCAUGUGCAGAACAAGUUCCUUGGCACAUCCUGGGGUAGCUGAUGCUCCAGAAUCUGCAGCAACAAGCACGUAUGAAGCACAGUUGUUGAAGUAAUGAAGUGUAUUUAGAUAAUAUGUGGGUUUGGAGCUUGGUUUGGUGCAUGUGCCAGGGGUGAAAACUUUUGACAGCUCUCACUUUCUCUUUUAGGGCUGUCACUAUUGCUUUAUCCCUUGAAUUUUACAGUAAGCCCUUAGGGGAUGGGUUGAAGCCUUUUCUCUUUGAAAUAUUGCACCGUAAGAUGGUAGAUGGGUAAUAAUAGUAGGCAGAAGGUAAAGAACUUAGGCCUUCAUUUCAGAUCUCUGAUCUUCCAGGUAUCCAUGUUGUAAAGUCCCUUUCCAGCUGAUUCUCAGU
Molecule: long non-coding RNA, 6807 nt
Organism: Numida meleagris (helmeted guineafowl)
Lineage: Eukaryota; Metazoa; Chordata; Aves; Galliformes; Numididae
Exons: 3
Source: RefSeq, a predicted model, not a curated record